GAUGAACGCUGGCGGCGUGCCUAAUACAUGCAAGUCGAGCGAACAGACCAGGAGCUUUCUCCUCUGACUUUAUCGGCGGACGGGUGAUUAACACGUGGAUAACCUACCUAUAAGACUGGGAUAACUUCGCGAAACCGGAGCUAAUACCAGAUAAUAUAUUGCACCUCAUGGUUCCAUCGUUAAAUACGGUUUUGCUUUCACUAAUAGAUUGCUCCGGGCCGCAUUAGCUAGUUGGUAAGGUGACGGCUUAACAAGGCAACGAGGCGUAGCCGACCUGAAAGGGAGGUCGGAUACCCGGGAAGUGAGACACGGUCCAGACUCCUAGGGGGGGACGCAGUAGGGACUCUUACGCAAGGGGGGAGUGCUGGACGGUGGAACGCGGGGGGAGUGCUGAAGGUCCUAGGAUCGUAGAACUAUGUUAUCAGGGAAGAAGAAAUGUGUAAGUACCUAUGAACGUCUUGACGGUACCGAAACAGAAAGCCCCGGCUAACUCCGUG
Molecule: ribosomal RNA, 497 nt
Filed under: uncultured bacterium
Lineage: Bacteria
Description: partial 16S ribosomal RNA
Rfam family: Bacterial small subunit ribosomal RNA
Source: RNAcentral